Molecule: ribosomal RNA, 490 nt
Filed under: uncultured bacterium
Lineage: Bacteria
Description: partial 16S ribosomal RNA
Rfam family: Bacterial small subunit ribosomal RNA
Source: RNAcentral
GAUGAACGCUAGCUACAGGCUUAACACAUGCAAGUCGCGGGGCAGCAUGGGGGUUGCUUGCCAUCCCCGAUGGCGACCGGCGCACGGGUGAGUAACGCGUAUCCAACCUGCCCUUCACCACGGGAUAACCCGGCGAAAGUCGGACUAAUACCGUAUGUUGUCCAUUGACGGCAUCCGAUUUGGACGAAAGGCUUGGCGGUGAGGGAUAGGGAUGCGUCCGAUUAGCCAGACGGCGGGGUAACGGCCCACCGUGGCUACGAUCGGUAGGGGUUCUGAGAGGAAGGUCCCCCACACUGGAACUGAGACACGGUCCAGACUCCUACGGGAGGCAGCAGUGAGGAAUAUUGGUCAAUGGGCGUAAGCCUGAACCAGCCAAGUAGCGCGCAGGAUGACGGCCCUAUGGGUUGUAAACUGCUUUUAUGCGGGGAUAAAGUGGCCCACGUGUGGGCUUUUGCAGGUACCGCAUGAAUAAGGACCGGCUAAUUCCGUG